GCCUAGGUCGGAUUAGCUAGUUGGUGAGGUAAUGGCUCACCAAGGCGACGAUCCGUAACUGGUCUGAGAGGAUGAUCAGUCACACUGGAACUGAGACACGGUCCAGACUCCUACGGGAGGCAGCAGUGGGGAAUAUUGGACAAUGGGCGAAAGCCUGAUCCAGCCAUGCCGCGUGUGUGAAGAAGGUCUUCGGAUUGUAAAGCACUUUAAGUUGGGAGGAAGGGCAUUAACCUAAUACGUUAGUGUUUUGACGUUACCGACAGAAUAAGCACCGGCUAACUCUGUGCCAGCAGCCGCGGUAAUACAGAGGGUGCAAGCGUUAAUCGGAAUUACUGGGCGUAAAGCGCGCGUAGGUGGUUCGUUAAGUUGGAUGUGAAAUCCCCGGGCUCAACCUGGGAACUGCAUUCAAAACUGUCGAGCUAGAGUAUGGUAGAGGGUGGUGGAAUUUC
Molecule: ribosomal RNA, 449 nt
Filed under: Pseudomonas brassicacearum
Lineage: Bacteria; Pseudomonadati; Pseudomonadota; Gammaproteobacteria; Pseudomonadales; Pseudomonadaceae
Description: bacterial SSU rRNA
Rfam family: Bacterial small subunit ribosomal RNA
Source: RNAcentral